CCUACGGGCGGCAGCAGUGGGGAAUAUUGGACAAUGGGCGAAAGCCUGAUCCAGCCAUGCCGCGUGUGUGAAGAAGGCCUUCGGGUUGUAAAGCACUUUCAGUGGGGAAGAAAGCCUUGGGGCUAAUACCCUCGAGGAAGGACAUCACCCACAGAAGAAGCACCGGCUAACUCCGUGCCAGCAGCCGCGGUAAUACGGAGGGUGCGAGCGUUAAUCGGAAUUACUGGGCGUAAAGCGCGCGUAGGCGGUCUGAUAAGCCGGUUGUGAAAGCCCCGGGCUCAACCUGGGAACGGCAUCCGGGACUGUCAGGCUAGAGUGCAGGAGAGGAAAGUAGAAUUCCCGGUGUAGCGGUGAAAUGCGUAGAGAUCGGGAGGAAUACCAGUGGCGAAGGCGGCCUUCUGGACUGACACUGACGCUGAGGUGCGAAAGCGUGGGUAGCAAACAGGAUUAGAUACCCUAGUAGUC
RNAcentral lists this ribosomal RNA (465 nucleotides) under Vreelandella stevensii. Its description in RNAcentral is "partial 16S ribosomal RNA". It matches the Rfam family "Bacterial small subunit ribosomal RNA", at positions 338 to 795 of the family's 1533-position model. Lineage: Bacteria; Pseudomonadati; Pseudomonadota; Gammaproteobacteria; Oceanospirillales; Halomonadaceae. The record is from RNAcentral.